This 506-nucleotide ribosomal RNA is filed under the name Escherichia coli. RNAcentral's name for it is "bacterial SSU rRNA". It matches the Rfam family "Bacterial small subunit ribosomal RNA", at positions 11 to 506 of the family's 1533-position model. Lineage: Bacteria; Pseudomonadati; Pseudomonadota; Gammaproteobacteria; Enterobacterales; Enterobacteriaceae. The record is from RNAcentral.
GUUUGAUCAUGGCUCAGAUUGAACGCUGGCGGCAGGCCUAACACAUGCAAGUCGAACGGUAACAGGAAGAAGCUUGCUUCUUUGCUGACGAGUGGCGGACGGGGGAGUAAUGUCUGGGAAACUGCCUGAUGGAGGGGGAUAACUACUGGAAACGGUAGCUAAUACCGCAUAACGUCGCAAGACCAAAGAGGGGGACCUUCGGGCCUCUUGCCAUCGGAUGUGCCCAGAUGGGAUUAGCUUGUUGGUGGGGUAACGGCUCACCAAGGCGACGAUCCCUAGCUGGUCUGAGAGGAUGACCAGCCACACUGGAACUGAGACACGGUCCAGACUCCUACGGGAGGCAGCAGUGGGGAAUAUUGCACAAUGGGCGCAAGCCUGAUGCAGCCAUGCCGCGUGUAUGAAGAAGGCCUUCGGGUUGUAAAGUACUUUCAGCGGGGAGGAAGGGAGUAAAGUUAAUACCUUUGCUCAUUGACGUUACCCGCAGAAGAAGCACCGGCUAACUCCGU